Molecule: ribosomal RNA, 426 nt
Filed under: uncultured Oscillibacter sp.
Lineage: Bacteria; Bacillati; Bacillota; Clostridia; Eubacteriales; Oscillospiraceae
Description: bacterial SSU rRNA
Rfam family: Bacterial small subunit ribosomal RNA
Source: RNAcentral
UGGGGAAUAUUGGGGCAAUGGGGCGCAAGCCUGACCCAGCAACGCCGCGUGAAGGAAGAAGGCUUUCGGGUUGUAAACUUCUUUUAAGGGGGAAGAGAAGAAGACGGUACCCCUAGAAUAAGCUACGGCUAACUACGUGCCAGCAGCCGCGGUAAUACGUAGGUUGCAAGCGUUGUCCGGAUUUACUGGGUGUAAAGGGCGUGUAGGCGGAGAUGCAAGUUGGGAGUGAAAUGCAGGGGCUCAACCCCUGAACUGCUUUCAAAACUGCAUCCCUCGAGUAUCGGAGAGGCAAGCGGAAUUCCUAGUGUAGCGGUGAAAUGCGUAGAUAUUAGGAGGAACACCAGUGGCGAAGGCGGCUUGCUGGACGACAACUGACGCUGAGGCGCGAAAGCGUGGGGAGCAAACAGGAUUAGAUACCCUGGUAGU